GCGUGGAGGAUGACGCAUUUCGGUGUGUAAACUCCUUUUAUUAGGGAAGAUAAUGACGGUACCUAAUGAAUAAGCACCGGCUAACUCCGUGCCAGCAGCCGCGGUAAUACGGAGGGUGCAAGCGUUACUCGGAAUCACUGGGCGUAAAGGGUGCGUAGGCUGGCUUUUAAGUCAGAUGUGAAAUCCAAUGGCUCAACCAUUGAACUGCAUUUGAAACUGAAAGCCUAGAGUUCAGAAGGGGCAGAUGGAAUUAGUGGUGUAGGGGUAAAAUCCGUAGAUAUCACUAGGAAUAUCAAAAGCGAAGGCGAUCUGCUGGGAU
RNAcentral lists this ribosomal RNA (319 nucleotides) under uncultured bacterium. RNAcentral describes it as "bacterial SSU rRNA". It matches the Rfam family "Bacterial small subunit ribosomal RNA", at positions 399 to 735 of the family's 1533-position model. The record is from RNAcentral.